RNAcentral lists this ribosomal RNA (490 nucleotides) under uncultured bacterium. RNAcentral describes it as "partial 16S ribosomal RNA". It matches the Rfam family "Bacterial small subunit ribosomal RNA", at positions 30 to 507 of the family's 1533-position model. The record is from RNAcentral.
AUUGAACGCUGGCGGCAGGCCUAACACAUGCAAGUCGAACGGUAACAGGAAGAAGCUUGCUUCUUUGCUGACGAGUGGCGGACGGGUGAGUAAUGUCUGGGAAACUGCCUGAUGGAGGGGGAUAACUACUGGAAACGGUAGCUAAUACCGCAUAACGUCGCGAGACCAAAGAGGGGGACCUUCGGGCCUCUUGCCAUCGGAUGUGCCCAGAUGGGAUUAGCUAGUAGGUGGGGUAACGGCUCACCUAGGCGACGAUCCCUAGCUGGUCUGAGAGGAUGACCAGCCACACUGGAACUGAGACACGGUCCAGACUCCUACGGGAGGCAGCAGUGGGGAAUAUUGCACAAAGGGCGCAAGCCUGAUGCAGCCAUGCCGCGUGUAUGAAGAAGGCCUUCGGGUUGUAAAGUACUUUCAGCGGGGAGGAAGGGAGUAAAGUUAAUACCUUUGCUCAUUGACGUUACCCGCAGAAGAAGCACCGGCUAACUCCGUG